RNAcentral lists this ribosomal RNA (1008 nucleotides) under Triticum aestivum (bread wheat). RNAcentral's name for it is "partial small subunit ribosomal RNA". Lineage: Eukaryota; Viridiplantae; Streptophyta; Magnoliopsida; Poales; Poaceae. The record is from RNAcentral.
AUGGACGGUACUAGCUCCAACAAGAGACAACUGGAAGCUCAGCUAGAGGGAGAUAGCAAUGCUAAGAGGCACAAUGUCACCAUGAGGUUGGAGACCCUCGAUUGCUCUGUCUGCUCUGAGCCGCUCAGACCUCCGAUAUUCCAGUCUUCUUUGGGGCAUUUCAUAUGCUUGUCUUGCCGUUCCGAGAUCCUGGACAAGAAGUGCCACUUGUGCUCUGCCGUAACUUCCUUUGAGCGAUGCUUUGGGAUGGAACAUGUCAUCAAGUCAGUCACUGUUGCUUGCUCCAAUGCCAAGUAUGGAUGCGCCGAGCAGAUCAUCUACUAUCAGAAGGAAGAACACGAAAAGAUGUGCCCAAACGCCCCAUGCUUCUGCCCAGAGUCUGGCUGCGGCUUCGCUGGGUCUACAAUGGCGCUCCUGGGCCAUAUGACCGGCAAGCACAAGUGCCCGUUAUCAACCUGCGAUGAUCCUAGCAUGGUGAAUGUUUAUCUGUACUUGGAACCGGGCUUACGUGUUCUGCACUGCCAUGAAGAUGAUCAGUUUUUUCUGUUCAACAUGGCAUCUGAGUCAUUUGGGCAUGCCAUCUCUGUCGUGUGUGUACAACCUCGGGUGACAGAACCCAAGUUCACAUGUGAUUUGUAUUACGACAGCUCGACAACCGACGAUUCUCAGAAUUCUUGUUGCAAGGUAAGAAGCUCAUCACUGUCUGAUGGGCUACCAACGGGCUAUGACCUGAUUGUGCCCAAGGGGAAGGUUUCUGAUGAAGGAAAUGGUAUCAUGCUCAGAGCCACCAUCCGUGAAAAGCGCAACGUUUUCUAUGAUUCCGAUUCUGAUGAAGUACCCAGGGCUUUAGGUCGCAGAAAAAGGAAUGGCCGGAAUCCUGAUUGUUCUGAUCCCAAUCAUGAGCGACCCGUACCCUUGGCUGCCAGAUUGAUUCCUGAUUAUUCCGAGUCUGAAGAUGAACGGCCCUUGGCUGCCAGAUUCUCCAAAAUUCGUGGUUAUGAACGCUGA